This 423-nucleotide ribosomal RNA is filed under the name uncultured bacterium. Its description in RNAcentral is "bacterial SSU rRNA". It matches the Rfam family "Bacterial small subunit ribosomal RNA", at positions 357 to 771 of the family's 1533-position model. The record is from RNAcentral.
GGGAAUAUUGGACAAUGGGGGGAACCCUGAUCCAGCCAUGCCGCGUGUGUGAAGAAGGCCUUAUGGUUGUAAAGCACUUUAAGCGAGGAGGAGGGUACUGGUAUUAAUACUACCAGCUACUGGACGUUACUCGCAGAAUAAGCACCGGCUAACUCUGUGCCAGCAGCCGCGGUAAUACAGAGGGUGCGAGCGUUAAUCGGAUUUACUGGGCGUAAAGCGUGCGUAGGCGGCUAAUUGAGUCGGAUGUGAAAUCCCCGAGCUUAACUUGGGAAUUGCAUUCGAUACUGGUUGGCUAGAGUGUGGGAGAGGAUGGUAGAAUUCCAGGUGUAGCGGCGAAAUGCGUAGAGAUCUGGAGGAAUACCGAUGGCGAAGGCAGCCAUCUGGCCUAACACUGACGCUGAGGUACGAAAGCAUGGGGAGCAA